RNAcentral lists this long non-coding RNA (778 nucleotides) under Cyanistes caeruleus (blue tit). Its description in RNAcentral is "lncRNA (ENSCCEG00000007934.1)". The record is from RNAcentral. Lineage: Eukaryota; Metazoa; Chordata; Aves; Passeriformes; Paridae.
UGUCUUCAUUUGUUCAUCUUGUUCAUGUUUCUCCAAGUGCUCCUCUGCUUCCUGAUACUAAUUUUAUUCAGGGUCUUAUGGCUGCAGAGCCAUUGCAUAAGAAGUUACUGCUCUGUCCUCUCUUGUGGAUUUUGGGUUUUGAUGCUGGAUGCAGGCUCCCUGUCCUGUGAGCCUCUGUGCUGCUGUGUUUGCCCAGCCUGGGCUCGUUUUAGGUCCUGAUCCAGGGCCUUCCCAAGAUGAAGAGGAGAUGAGUUUAGCACCUGCUGAGGCUCGGGAUUCCCUUGGCUCCUGCAGCGGGAUCCCCUCAGGAGCACUCCAGGCAAUGAUCCUCCCCUGCAGAACAGAUCCCCAGGUGUGCCAGGAGAGAAGGGAAAGUGGCAGAGGCUGGCUCUGUCCCACCUGCUGCCCUGCUGCUCCUUGCACAGCCACUCCAGCCUGGGGAAAUGAGGUGCUACAGGGGGUCUUGUAUAAAGUUGUUGCAGAGCUGUCUGCAAGGUGGGGUAAAGCUCAGGGCUGCAGAGGCAGUCAGAUUGGUCCCCCUGCAGUCCAAGAUCGAUGCUGGGGCUUGGCAGCCGGUUUCAGUCCUCCCAGGGAUUUCUUCCUUUUCUUUCUGUUCCCCAUUUUAGCAGGACAGGGUGUGUCUUGCUGUCCCCAGCUGGAUAAUGCACUUACCUUGACCCCUGUGCAUCUCUUCAGCAGAGACCUCAGGCCAGGGAGAGCUCCGAGAUGUGACCCAGGGACAAUUGUGAAUUCUCUGGGAGAGAAAUCCCCGUGUUAA